This 612-nucleotide unclassified non-coding RNA is filed under the name Athalia rosae (coleseed sawfly). RNAcentral describes it as "misc RNA ENSAEAG00005003019.1". Lineage: Eukaryota; Metazoa; Arthropoda; Insecta; Hymenoptera; Athaliidae. The record is from RNAcentral.
GUAUCUACAUAAGCUACACGUCAGAUAGCAGAUUUGAUCUCUAUAAUCAGAUCUACUUUGGUUCAUUAAGAGGAAACAAUGAAAGAGUUUAAAUCUGUACAAAGAUUGCCGAUCCUAGAGCAUGUAAAUUCGACAGAGAAUGUCAAACAAUUUCCCGAUCUCAGUGUGUUGCAAAUAGACAUUGAAUGAGGUUUUGUUGUGUAUAAUCGGAUGAAAUAAAUUUUCUUCUCUAUACUGUGAAUGUAUUAUGAAAUUAUCCACCUUACGCAUGAUCAAUAAUUUAUGAAACUAUAUUUUAGUGUAUUAAGAGGUACGUGCAACCACCGAGAGAGAAAUCUUAUGCCCCAGAAAAAUUUUACUGUCCUCCGACGAAACCCAUUGAUGCUAAAACAACUUAUCAUCUAUCAUACUUGAAUGUUGACCGAGCAACAGCUGGUCAUGCUAAAACGCGAGCUUUCAAGCCUGUUCACUCAUUGGACACAUCUACCGGAAAAAUUUCAGAUGAAACAACAAAUCGUAUGAGCUUUCGUGCCAAUUGGGGUAUUUGCAAAGCUAAAGCAUAUACGCCUACACGCAGGACUCAAGCAGGGCAGGGUCCAAUGCAAUGUACCA